Molecule: long non-coding RNA, 1477 nt
Organism: Odontomachus brunneus
Lineage: Eukaryota; Metazoa; Arthropoda; Insecta; Hymenoptera; Formicidae
Exons: 4
Source: RefSeq, a predicted model, not a curated record
AUGUAUAUAUCGUUAUCACUAUGUUUGGUUGACUUAAACAGAAUUCGGGUUACUUCAGUCGGGAUUUCUGGAUCGUUUAUAUUCGACCAGGUAUUUGGUUAAUUCAACCAAACUUUUUUUUACGUGCAGGAAGCUUUCUUCAUGGAAAACGCGUCGGUGAAAUUUUGCUUCUACAUUAAACGCAAAAUUCUGUUUAACUAAAUUAAAAGUGAAAGAAUUCAAAGUCAGAUUUAAAGUGGAUUGAAGAAUGGAGAGUUUCGAGACAAAACCUAUAUAACAUUGUAGAAAAAUAUUUGGUGAUUAUAAUUACAUAGUAAAAAAAUUAUAAUCAGCAAAACCAUUUCUAUAGUGUUACUAUAAUGAUAAUAACGAUAAUUUUACAUGUAUAUAUCGUUAUCACUAUUUUUGGUUGACUUAAACAGAAUUCGGGUUACUUCAAUCGGGAUUUUUGGAUCGUUCAUAUUCGACCAGGUAUUUAGUUAAUUCAACCAAACCUUUUUUACAUGCAGGAAGCUUUCCUCGUGGAAAACGCGUCGGUCCUGAAAGCACCUGCCAGGUUCAGUCUGGUCUGACGGAAUAAUUCAUGGAAACGGAGGCUCGACAAUUAGGGGCUGAGGGUUCGCGGCGUCCACCGUGAAAACCGUACGAGCGAAGAUUUCCUGGCGCAAAACAGUGUCGCCCGAUCGACUUUUCACGGAUGGAAGGAGAACGAGCUCGACGCGCGGAGAGAAACCGGCCGCAGUCAACUUGGCUCGGAGUUUUCGGCGAGGAAUCUUCAGCCGCCUUUGCUGGCGGUCCUUCGGUCUCCCUCCGGCGCCACUCCGGAGAUCCUUAUUAGAACGAUACGUCGGAUUCGAGGCUGAGAAUUCCCUCGGCCCAGCGGCUGGGGCCCGCAUAUAAAAGUGCGUGCGCGGCAAAUCGCACCAGCGGAGACGCCGCAUUGAGCGGAGGCGGUGGUCCGUGAAACGCAUUUAGCUUGUUGGUACACAGAACUCGACGGGACACGCGAGCCCUGUUCUCCCCGCGCAUUGUGUGCGUGUGAGUGCGUGCGAACGCACCCACGUGCAAGUGCGAGCCGGGCGCGUCGAUGAUCGUCGAGAAUCCGCUCGUCACUUUUCAGACACACGCUUUUUCUUCCCGACCUGAAUGCAUGUAAAAAGGGCCCGUUCGCAUAAUCCGUCACCUGCAUUGUAUUAUUAGAGGGAUUACGAAUUUCCGGGCGUGUCCUCCACGUGGAGGUCGCUGUCCCGUGCGACCUCUCCCUCCCCUUUCUCUCUCUUUCGCUGCCUGUUCGCCAGCAAAGAGAUCAGAUUCCACUCCAAGUCCCCUAUGAGCUCUUCUCGAAGGCGAUCCUUCGGAAUACGACAAUAAAACCGAUUCGUGAGUGGAGGGAAAACAGAGUCGAGCAGAUGCGGGCCUCCAUCGACUUGUUCUGUCAAAACAUGGACGACGUUUUGUAAGUAAUAUACAUGGAAGA